AAAACCCUUCUUAAAAUAAAAGAAACCUUAAUUAACUAAAAAAAAACCUUUCAGUUACGAAAGCCUUGUUUAAAACAUUUGAUUUUAAAAAAAAAAUUAGUUGCAGAAACAUAGAAAACAUACUAUAAUUUAAGAAAUCCAUGUUUAACUUCUCGUAAUUACAAUGAAAAUAAUAAUAAUAAUUCAAGUAAUAAUAACAUAAUGAAAACCUUAUUACAAUUUAAUCUGAACAUACUUAAAAAGAAAUAAAAACUUAAAUGCUUAAAAUAAAACAAGUCUAAAU
Molecule: long non-coding RNA, 283 nt
Filed under: Gossypium barbadense (sea-island cotton)
Lineage: Eukaryota; Viridiplantae; Streptophyta; Magnoliopsida; Malvales; Malvaceae
Description: long non-coding RNA (GBAR_LNC000557)
Source: RNAcentral